CUUAAGGUAACCCUCUUCCUUCAACUUCAGCAACUUAAUUUUUUGUUCUUGAUGGUGUGAGCUUUGGAGCUUCUGACUUUGCAUACACUGCAUAUUCAAUCAUAUGGAAGCAGAAUAUUUUGGUGUUCCAUUGCCAAACAUAUCAAAAUAUUCCAUUGCCAAACAUAUUGACAAUGGAAUAGAUAAAAACUCUGGUCAACAACUCUGGUCAACUCUCCAUUGCUCUUUCAUUCCUUUCAGAUGAGAAUUCUGGAGCAUUGGACUCUGCUUAUGUUCUUGCUCAAGAUCAGUAUGGUUUUGUUUUUUUUACACGCAGCCUAAUAUAUAGGCAUUGAUUUCCAGGAACCAUACCUUGAAGAAGCACAUCUUGACGUUGUGAAUGGAAGUAUAAAGAGUUAUCCAAGCAAUGGGAUCAACUUUGCUAGUGCUGGCAGUGGUGUUUUCCCACAAAUUUUCCCCCAAAUUCAAGAUUCAAGAUGUGGAGUUCUUAUAUUGUGUUGAUUUAAUUAAAUGUGAUGUAUUAUUAUUUAUUUUGUUUGUAAAUUUAUGUUUUGUAAAUUUUGUUCUUAU
Molecule: long non-coding RNA, 570 nt
Organism: Carya illinoinensis
Lineage: Eukaryota; Viridiplantae; Streptophyta; Magnoliopsida; Fagales; Juglandaceae
Exons: 4
Source: RefSeq, a predicted model, not a curated record